This 156-nucleotide microRNA precursor is filed under the name Citrus sinensis (sweet orange). Lineage: Eukaryota; Viridiplantae; Streptophyta; Magnoliopsida; Sapindales; Rutaceae. The record is from RNAcentral.
UCUAGUUUGGUAGCCAAGGAUGACUUGCCUGAUUCUUCCAAUUAAGCGGUUUCAGAUUAAUCAUAUUGAUUAAUUAGUUUUUUAAAUGAAGCCAUUGAUGGGUUACCAGGCAGUCACCUUGGCUAACUUGACAGUCUCUUGUCUCUCAUGCUAGGC